GGGAUUCCCCUAGUAACGGCGAGUGAAGCGGGAACAGCUCAAAUUUGAAAGCUGGCCUUCUGGUCCGCAUUGUAAUUUGUAGAGGAUGCUUUUGGCGCGGUGCCUUCUGAGUUCCUUGGAACAGGACGCCUUAGAGGGUGAGAGCCCCGUACAGUUGGACACCUAGCCUUUGUAAAGCUCCUUCGACGAGUCGAGUAGUUUGGGAAUGCUGCUCUAAAUGGGAGGUAAAUUUCUUCUAAAGCUAAAUACCGGCCAGAGACCGAUAGCGCACAAGUAGAGUGAUCGAAAGAUGAAAAGCACUUUGAAAAGAGGGUUAAAUAGCACGUGAAAUUGUUGAAAGGGAAGCGCUUAUGACCAGACUUUUUCCUGGCGGAUCAUCCGGCGUUCUCGCCGGUGCACUUCGCCAGGUUUAGGCCAACAUCGAUUUCCGCCGGGGGAUAAAGGCUUCGGGAAUGUGACUCCCUCCGGGGAGUGUUAUAGCCCGUUGCGCAAUACCCUGGUGGGGAUCGAGGUUCGCGCUUCGGCAAGGAUGUUGGCAUAAUGGUCAUCAGUGACCCGUCUUGAAACACGGACCAAGGAGUCGAACAUUUGUGCGAGUGUUUGGGUGUCAAACCCUCACGCGUAAUGAAAGUGAACGGAGGUGAGAGCCUUAGGGUGCAUCAUCGACCGAUCCUGAUGUCUUCGGAUGGAUUUGAGUAAGAGCAUAAAUGUUCGGACCCGAAAGAUGGUGAACUAUGCGUGGAUAGGGUGAAGCCAGAGGAAAC
Molecule: ribosomal RNA, 764 nt
Filed under: Circinotrichum circinatum
Lineage: Eukaryota; Fungi; Ascomycota; Sordariomycetes; Xylariales; Coniocessiaceae
Description: partial large subunit ribosomal RNA
Rfam family: Eukaryotic large subunit ribosomal RNA
Source: RNAcentral